CGCAAGGGUGCGUAACGCGUGAGCAACUUGCCCGUUUCUGGGGGAAUAACCGGUGGAAACGCCGACGUAAUACUCCAUGGUACAUUUGGGUGAAGGCAUCUCAUUGAUGUUAAAGAUUUAUCGGAAACGGAUAGGCUCGCGUGACAUUAGCUAGAUGGCGGGGUAACGGCCCACCAUGGCGACGAUGUCUAGGGGUUCUGAGAGGAAAGGUCCCCCCACACUGGAACUGAGACACGGUCCAGACUCCUACGGGAGGCAGCAGUGAGGAAUAUUGGUCAAUGGGCGAGAGCCUGAACCAGCCAAGUCGCGUGAGGGAAGACGGUACUAAGUAUUGUAAACCUCUUUUGUCAGGGAACAAAGAGACCACGUGUGGUAAGAUGAGUGUACCUGAAGAAAAAGCAUCGGCUAACUCCGUG
This 416-nucleotide ribosomal RNA is filed under the name uncultured bacterium. Its description in RNAcentral is "bacterial SSU rRNA". It matches the Rfam family "Bacterial small subunit ribosomal RNA", at positions 99 to 507 of the family's 1533-position model. The record is from RNAcentral.